Molecule: ribosomal RNA, 483 nt
Filed under: uncultured bacterium
Lineage: Bacteria
Description: partial 16S ribosomal RNA
Rfam family: Bacterial small subunit ribosomal RNA
Source: RNAcentral
ACUCAAAUGAAUAGACGGGGGCCCGCACAAGCAGCGGAGCGUGUGGUUUAAUUCGACGCAACGCGAAGCACCUUACCCAGGCUUGACAUGCAGCUGCAUGCGCUUGAAAGAGCGCUGCCUUCGAGGGUGCUGCACAGGUGCUGCAUGGUUGUCGUCAGCUCGUGUCGUGAGAUGUUGGGUUAAGUCCCGCAACGAGCGCAACCCCUGCCGGUAGUUAUCCGUGUCUACCGGGACUGCCGUCUUUCGGACGGAGGAAGGCGGGGAUGACGUCAAAUCCGCAUGGCCCUUACGCCUGGGGCGACACACACGCUACAAUGGCCAGGACAGCGCGUCGCGACCUCGCAAGGGGGAGCAAAUCGUCCAAACCUGGCCCCAGUUCGGAUCGAGGGCUGCAACUCGCCCUCGUGAAGGUGGAGUUGCUAGUAACCGCGUAUCAGCCACGGCGCGGUGAAUACGUUCCCGGGCCUUGUACACACCGCCCGU